This is a long non-coding RNA of Heterocephalus glaber (naked mole-rat), 428 nucleotides long. RefSeq lists it as uncharacterized. The record is from RefSeq and is a predicted model, not a curated record. NCBI's taxonomy places the organism in Eukaryota, Metazoa, Chordata, Mammalia, Rodentia, Bathyergidae.
UUUGAUGUAGGUUUCUACAGGGGAGCUGUAAUAGCUUACUACUUAGUUGCAUUUGGCUCCAGGCCUCCCUCUCCUCUCUGUGUGGAUAAGGAUAUAUUGUGACUGAAGGGCUGCACAGGUGUCCCACUGUUGUCGGAUGGAUGGCCUUCUGAAGCCAGAUUGUGGAACUGCUCCAGCAAGUCACCAUGUUUUUGUGCAUUUCUCGGACCUCUGAAGGUAAAAUGAACUCAAGCCAAGGCUGUAAAGGUUAUAUGUGAAUGCUACCGGAGUAGACAUCUUCAAAGAAACAUGCUAAUAAUAUAAUUUUGAACACAAGAUAGGGAUACCUGCACUAAAACAGAACUAUUUUCAGGUGAAGAAAAUCAAAGAGCAGUCGCCACUGAUGUGUAACACUAACAGAAGGAGGCAAAAUAAAACCUGCCACUUCA